Mirounga angustirostris (Northern elephant seal) is the source of this 3962-nucleotide long non-coding RNA. RefSeq lists it as uncharacterized. The record is from RefSeq and is a predicted model, not a curated record. NCBI's taxonomy places the organism in Eukaryota, Metazoa, Chordata, Mammalia, Carnivora, Phocidae. The transcript is spliced from 4 exons.
CUUUCCAGCUCCUGGGGGCCUCAAGUUACAGCCUAACUGUAAUCUUUUCCUCUGACUUUGCAUGGUUUUUUCCUGUCUCUGUGCCCCUCCUUUUCUUAUAAGGAUAUAAAUCAUUGGGUUUAGGGCCUGCCUUAAAUCCAGACUGAUUUUAUCUUGAGAUCUUUAACAAAUUACAUCUGCAAAGACCCUAUUGUAAGGCUAUAUUCCAAGGUUCUGAGUGGACAUAAAUUUUGGGGGGACACUGUUCAGCCCACUACAGCACUAAAAAUGGCAACUGAGAACUGAGAUAGGAAAAAAAGUGGAAAUUGAAAAAUCACAGAGAACCCAAGAAGUUACUUUUUUUUUCAUCUCUGUCUCUGCUUCACUCUAAAAGUCUAUUCCAUUCAUCUGUGUCUUAAUCAACUGUUUGUUUCUGCUCUCUUCCCCGUGGGAAGGUCUAGUUGCCCCACAGCUACCAAUGAUGGUACACAACCCCACCUAAAACUGGGAAUCCAUAGACCCCAAUUCCACUCCUGGGGGAGAGAAUCUUCUAAGCUGAACUUAGAUCAUGGGUCCACUCCAGGCUGAUGGAUUUUGACCAGAGGGAUGGUGUCAAACCUGUAUCAUAACCAUAGAGCAAAGACAGUUAGUUCUCUGGGUUGGCUUGUGGACUGAAGUGACACCCCAAACAAUGUCUAAUAUACAGAGAAUUGGUUAAAUUAUGCUCUGACCAUAGGAAGGAAGACUGCAUAACUAUUAAACUAUUGUGUUUUAGAACAAAUGCUAAUGGCAAGUCAACAUGAGAAUAAUUAAGUGGGAAAGCAAGUGAUGAAGCAACAUAUAUAUAUAUAUAUAUACAUAUACAUAUAUAAUACUGUACCCACAUUAUUAAUAAACACAGACACACACUCAUAGAGUUAAGGAUAGAAGAAUAUACACCACCACAUUUACAGCAGUAUCACUAGAUGAUAGAUUAUGCGUGGGUUUUACUUUUUUCUUUUUCCAAAAUUUACUUUUAAAUUGCUUAAUAUUUUAUUAAUGUCCAAAGAAUGAUUUCUAACACAAAGGAAUGAUUACUUAAUAAUGGAAUUUGAGACAUAGUGAGAGAAAAUUUGGGAUAAUAAGUCUAGGGGACAUUGAUUGGUUAUUUGCCUAAUAUGCAAAGUUUCCUCUUUUUCUGGACUUCCCUGUCAUGAUCACCUGUAGACUCUGGAUCCCAAGGGGCAGCCAUAUUCUUCCAUGUGGACCAUAGGCAGAGAUCAGUCGGCAGAGAGGAGCGAAAAUAAUGAAGCUGAUUUCAAAACAGGGACAGAGAUGACAAACAUAGAUCUGGAUAGCCCUUCAGUGUGAUUUAAGCCCUCUCUAAAACCUGUUGACAUUUCUCUCUUGAGUUUGUUCUGAUGCUUUAUAUCUAUCAUAAAUGUCUUCUUGUGUUUAAACGGGCUUGAGUUGAUUUCUGUUGCUUGCCAACAAAGAGUUCUGAGCAAUACCACAUCCUUCACAGUUCUUUGAAAUCAUAAUACACAAGUGAGCCUCGUCUAAGUUCUAAGAAGAGUUCUUUAGAGCUGAGACCCAACCCUCCAGAUAAAGCUAUGCCCUUGGGUGCCUGAGGCACAAGCCAAUGAGUAAGGAAAAAGUAAUAAAAGGGAGAGGUGAUGAGAAGGAAGAGAUGAGCAAGAGGCAGAUCAAAGAGAAAGCCAGGGGAAGGGGGAUAGGAGGGUCAUAUAAGGACAGAGUUCUAGAAUCUAGAAUGCCAACAAAAGUCAUUUCAGAAGGCCCCUCAUCCCUGGCCUUUGGUCAUCUUCAAUUCACAGUUCCAUGAACAGUGAAUUGUCUUCUAUGCAUGUCAAAUGAGUUCCAAAAUCAGUUGAGUUUUUACGGACUUGAUCUACAGGGUCAUCAAGUUGGUCAGUACAUUCAACCCAAUGCAUCUAAAUUCCUUCACUAGUCGUAGAAACCAUCCCAAAUCUUGGAUAUUUGGGGGAGACAUUAUUUCUUAACACCACAUGCUAUGGAUAACCGCAAACUGGGUAGUUGCGUGUGACCAACAUCUCUCUAACAACAAAUUCCAUUUCUCAGUACUUUCUAAGAAAAUGUAUCUCAGGGACCUUUGAAAAAGUCAAGUGAUCCUUCUGUAUGGCCUCUUUGAUAAAAAUGUAUUACUGUCGGUGUUUAAAAAUAAAUUUCACCUUAACAGACUAUGAUCUAUUGAAUGAGAAUCCACAAGUCCACACUGAUAUAAAUAAAUUUUUUUAAAUGGGAGAGAAAGGAAAGUGGAAUGCCAACUAAGAAAUGUGGAAAGAAUGAUGAAAUUAUCAUCUGGCCAACACCACAAAUACAACUGAUACAGGCCAGAAACAUCAGUGGAUGCUAAACCUGGUGGGUAUGAACUUGAUUACAAACAGGAUACUGACUUAACUGUCAAGUAUCUCCCCAUAAAAUUAUUAGUAACGACAAAGAGGAAAACAGCAACUUUAUAUAGUAGAGAGACCCAGCAGACUGAACUUUAGCCAAGUGAUCAAAAUUAUUAGCCUCAACGCUAGUUGGACAAAUCGAUACCACGUGCAUCCUGAUACAAUGUGUGAGAGGGACACAUCCCUUCUAAGACAUUCCUGCCCAAAGCAACAUAAUCGGGAUCUAAUCAUGGGGAAGCAUGAGACAAACCGAAAUUGAGGGACAUUCUACAAAACUAUCAAGUUCAUGAAAGACAAAGAAAGACUCUAGAACUAUUCCAGUUUAACAGAAGAUAAAGGAACAGGACAAUUAAAUGCAGCACGUGGUCCUUGACUGAACCCUGAACCAGAAAAAAACAAUUAUUGUAUUUUGCUAUGAAGUAGAUUAUUAGGGAAGUUAAAGAGAAUUGAACAAGGUCUACCAAUGAGGUAUUAUCUAAAUGACUUCGGGGUGAAAAGACGCAAUUCCUACAAUGUAAUCUUAGUUCAGAACAGAAAAUUAUAUAUCUUAUUAAAUAUAUUAUUAAAGUUUCAUAUCUACAUACACACACAUAUAUAUGUGUGUAUCUCUAUCCAUCUACCCAUCCAUCCAGAGGGAAUAACAAAGCAACAUGGUAAAGACAAAAUAGUAACAUUUGGAGAAGCCAAGUGAAACUGUUAUGGGAAUUUUUUGUUCUAUUGCGACUUUUCUCUAAGUCUGGAAUUAUUUGGGAAUAAAAAUAAAUACUGCACAAAUCCCUCAGGACCAAGCAGUAGUGGCCCAUUUUCCUGGUAGUUGAUAAAAUGUCAUUUUGUCCCAGCAAAAUGUCAGCCUUGACUUCAUCAUGAAGGUGACUCAGUUCACUUCCCAAGUCCCACUGUUACUCUUCCAGCUGCUUGGCGUUUGUCAGCCCUGGCCUUGUCCCAGGCCCUGAGUGCACCUGGAGGUCUUCCCUCGGUGUCCACGUGGGCAGUCGUGGCUUGUCGAGGCUGGAAGCAUCCACGGUCCUGACUCAGAAGCCAGGGGGCUCCUCACAUCCUCUUCCCAGGACCGCGGGGACGAGGGACUGCCCUGGGCUGGUGGAUGGCAAGGGGAAUUCUGCUCCCUUCCAGGAAGGACCCAAACAGCAGGCUGUGGAAGGAGACCAUGCCUUUACAACGAGUGGAGCUUGAACUGAAGACCAGUAGAGGACUGGGAAAGUCAUCUUAUCUUCAAAGAUGGACCAAAUCCUGCUCACCAAACAGGGGUGCCUGGCCACGGAAGUUUAGAGAUGAAGGCCCAUUGUGAGUCUUUUCACAGUUUUGAUUGAGGAGAAAGGAAGGAGAAGAGGCGAUGUGCAGUGUAUUUCCGCUCUGGGAGAGCUAGUCCAGGAGAGCAGACCUCCCCGUUGCAAGGGCCUGGCGACUGCCGGCCAGGACCACAGCCAUAAGGAGCAGCUCUCCCUCUGCCCGUCCCUAUGGCUUGCCAUAUGCUUGGUUCUCCAGUUUUUAACUGUAUUUUGAGAAUUGUGUUAUAAAUAAUUUAUCCCCCAAAUUAAAAAUGCUUUUCUU